Molecule: non-coding RNA, 706 nt
Organism: Cinara cedri
Lineage: Eukaryota; Metazoa; Arthropoda; Insecta; Hemiptera; Aphididae
Source: the annotation of a GenBank genome assembly
GGCAUAGUGUUCUGGUAAUUAUUAUAAAUAAAAAAAAAAAUAACUUCAAAAUAUUAAAUAGGCAGAAAAAAAAUUAUUACAUUUGUUAAAUAUAUAUUCCUGUUACACUAUGUUUAUCGACUACUGGAAGAAAAUCCGCAGAUAUUCACAAAACUUAAUAUGCAUAAUAUGCGAGUAAAUUGUGUACUUUAAUUGUGUUUAAAAAACUUACCGUGAAAUAAAAAAUAAGUUAUAAUAGCAAAUUUUAUAUCCGUGUGCAUAGUGCUCGUCUUAUACAAACGCACGAUAUAGCAGACGUUUAACACGGAUAAUUUUAUGCAGUCAGUUUUAAUAUAAAAAUAAAUAGUGAUUAUUUUUAUCAAACUUAUCAAAAGGUUUUCAGUUUCUGUUUUCAUACACGUAGGUUUUUUCUCGAUAUUUUAAUUUUUCUCAGCGAAUUAUAGCUAUGAAUUUUUAAAUUGCUAUAUUCAAUAUACCUACACGUAAUACCCCACUUGGUGAUUAAACGAUCGAGAAAAAUAAAUCGAUGUUUAAAAAUACACGAAUAAUAUUCGUAACUUCAAGUUUGCUGGUGUAUUCUAUAUGCCUCGUACGUUUAAAAGACGGAGACGGAGCGAGACACCACAGUUAUAUGUGGGAAAGCACAACAUCGCGUUCUCUUAAAUGUUUAAUUUUGAUAAAAAAAAUUAGUAAAAAAUGCUUACGA